GCUGGGCGUGGUGGUGGGCGCCUGUAAUCCCAGCUACUAGGGAGGCUGAGGCAGGAGAAUCACUUGAACCCAGGAGGCUGAGGUUGCAGUGAGCUGAGAUCGCGCCACUGCACUCCAGCCUGGGCGAUAGAGUGAGACUCCAUCUCAA
RNAcentral lists this non-coding RNA (148 nucleotides) under Homo sapiens (human). The record is from Rfam by way of RNAcentral. Lineage: Eukaryota; Metazoa; Chordata; Mammalia; Primates; Hominidae.